GUAGCUCAGUUGGGAGAGCGCCGCAAUCGCACUGCGGAGGUCGAGGGUUCGACUCCCUUC
This 60-nucleotide transfer RNA is filed under the name Ensifer meliloti. RNAcentral's name for it is "Sinorhizobium meliloti tRNA-Ala". It matches the Rfam family "tRNA", at positions 7 to 64 of the family's 71-position model. From Rfam's summary of the family: Transfer RNA (tRNA) molecules are approximately 80 nucleotides in length. The record is from RNAcentral. Lineage: Bacteria; Pseudomonadati; Pseudomonadota; Alphaproteobacteria; Hyphomicrobiales; Rhizobiaceae.